AGAAUCAACGCUGGCGGCGUGCCUAACACAUGCAAGUCGAACGAGAAAGUGGAGCAAUCCAUGAGUAAAGUGGCGCACGGGUGAGUAACACGUGACUAACCUACCCUUGAGUGGGGGAUAACCUAGAGAAAUCUGGGCUAAUACCGCAUAAUACCUUCGGGUCAAAGGAGCAAUUCGCUUAAGGAGGGGGUCGCGGCCGAUUAGUUAGUUGGCGGGGUAAUGGCCCACCAAGACUAUGAUCGGUAUCCGGCCUGAGAGGGCGCGACGGACGACGACUGGAACUGAAACACGGUCCAGACUCCUACGGGAGGCAGCAGUGGGGAAUUUUGCGCAAUGGGGGAAACCCUGACGCAGCAACGCCGCGUGGAGGAUGAAGUCCCUUGGGACGUAAACUCCUUUCGAUAGGGAAGAUAAUGACGGUACCUAUAGAAGAAGCCCCGGCUAACUUCGUGCCAGCAGCCGC
RNAcentral lists this ribosomal RNA (463 nucleotides) under uncultured bacterium. RNAcentral's name for it is "SSU rRNA". It matches the Rfam family "Bacterial small subunit ribosomal RNA", at positions 26 to 518 of the family's 1533-position model. The record is from RNAcentral.